RNAcentral lists this ribosomal RNA (487 nucleotides) under fungal endophyte sp. DM119. RNAcentral describes it as "eukaryotic LSU rRNA". It matches the Rfam family "Eukaryotic large subunit ribosomal RNA", at positions 150 to 656 of the family's 3401-position model. The record is from RNAcentral. Lineage: Eukaryota; Fungi.
UUGUAGAGGAUGCUUUUGGCGCGGUGCCUUCCGAGUUCCCUGGAACGGGACGCCUUAGAGGGUGAGAGCCCCGUACGGUUGGACACCAAGCCUCUGUAAAGCUCCUUCGACGAGUCGAGUAGUUUGGGAAUGCUGCUCUAAAUGGGAGGUAAAUUUCUUCUAAAGCUAAAUAUUGGCCAGAGACCGAUAGCGCACAAGUAGAGUGAUCGAAAGAUGAAAAGCACUUUGAAAAGAGGGUUAAAUAGCACGUGAAAUUGUUGAAAGGGAAGCGUUUGCGACCAGACCUUUUCCUAGCGGAUCAUCCGGUGUUCUUCGCCGGUGCACUUCGCUAGGUCGAGGCCAGCAUCGGUUUCUGCAGGGGGAUAAAAGCCCAGGGAACGUAGCUCUUUCGGGAGUGUUAUAGCCCUCCGCAUAAUACCCUUGCGGGGACCGAGGACCGCGCUUUUUGCAAGGAUGCUGGCGUAAUGGUCGUCAACGACCCGUCUUG